AGAGCGAACGCUGGCGGCAGGCCUAACACAUGCAAGUCGAGCGCCCGUAGCAAUACGGGAGCGGCAGACGGGAUAGUAACACGUGGGAACGCGCCCUUCGGUUCGGAAUAACUCAGGGAAACUUGAGCUAAUACCGGAUACGCCCUUACGGGGAAAGAUUUAUUGCCGAAGGAACGGCCCGCGUCCGAUUAGCUAGUUGGUGAGGUAAUGGCUCACCAAGGCGACGAUCGGUAGCUGGUCUGAGAGGAUGACCAGCAUCACUGGGACUGAGACACGGCCCAGACUCCUACGGGAGGCAGCAGUGGGGAAUAUUGGACAAUGGGCGCAAGCCUGAUCCAGCCAUGCCGCGUGGAUGAUGAAGGCCUUAGGGUGUAAAGUCCUUUUAACGGGAAGAUAAUGACGGUACCGUAGAAUAAGCCCGGCUAACUUCGCGCACGCAGCCGC
This 444-nucleotide ribosomal RNA is filed under the name uncultured bacterium. RNAcentral describes it as "SSU rRNA". It matches the Rfam family "Bacterial small subunit ribosomal RNA", at positions 26 to 518 of the family's 1533-position model. The record is from RNAcentral.